CUCCCCCCGGAGGCUCGGAACAGCUUGGGCGGGCGUUUGGUCUGGUUUGUCGCCUCAGAUGGAUCAAAAGGUUUCUGCUGAUAGGCAAAGUUGCCCCACUUUCCGCGGCGGCGACGCGGAGUUACUUUCUGCAGCGAAGCAGCCUCGAGGACCUUAAAGGGAAAAGGCGGACAGAAGGAGGGCGAGCGCACUUGAUUUCGACCUUUAAGGGAGGCCCAGAUGCUGCCAGGCCCCUCAGUUUACCUUGCGAAGUUACUUACGGAUCAGCAGCAUUUGGUCUUCGUCGGGUGAGGGAGAAACCUAGGCAUCAAAUAAAUUCUGUUUCACAGA
Molecule: long non-coding RNA, 330 nt
Filed under: Homo sapiens (human)
Lineage: Eukaryota; Metazoa; Chordata; Mammalia; Primates; Hominidae
Description: non-protein coding lnc-TNFRSF21-4:1
Source: RNAcentral